RNAcentral lists this transfer RNA (71 nucleotides) under Lentisphaerota bacterium. RNAcentral describes it as "Lentisphaerae bacterium (invertebrate metagenome) tRNA-Gln". It matches the Rfam family "tRNA". From Rfam's summary of the family: Transfer RNA (tRNA) molecules are approximately 80 nucleotides in length. Their secondary structure includes four short double-helical elements and three loops (D, anti-codon, and T loops). The record is from RNAcentral. Lineage: Bacteria; Pseudomonadati; Lentisphaerota.
AGCCCUCUGGUUCAAUGGUAGAACGACAGGUUUUGAGCCUGUAAGUCAAGGUUCGAUUCCUUGGAGGGCUU